AGCAGCCGCGGUAAUUCCAGCUCCAAUAGCGUAUAUUAAAGUUGUUGCAGUUAAAAAGCUCGUAGUUGAAUUUCGGGAUUGACGUGAUGGUCAUGCCUUAAGGGGUAUGAACUGUUGCAGUUGAUUUCUCACCUUCUGGAGAAACUUGAUGUCCUUUAUUGGGUGUCUUGCGGAUCCAGGACCUUUACCUUGAAAAAAUUAGAGUGUUUAAAGCAGGCAUUUUUGCUCGAAUACAUUAGCAUGGAAUAAUAGAAUAGGACGGCAUGGUUCUAUUUUGUUGGUUUCUAGGAUCACCGUAAUGAUUAAUAGGGAUAGUUGGGGGCACUAGUAUUCAAUUGUCAGAGGUGAAAUUCUUGGAUUUAUUGAAGACUAACUACUGCGAAAGCAUUUGCCAAGGAUGUUUUCAUUAAUCAAGAACGAAAGUUAGGGGAUCGAAGACGAUCAGAUACCGUCGUAGUCUUAACCAUAAACUAUGCCGACUAGGAAUCAGACGAUGUUAAUUUUUUAA
RNAcentral lists this small RNA (508 nucleotides) under uncultured Entrophospora. Its description in RNAcentral is "SSU rRNA". It matches the Rfam family "Eukaryotic small subunit ribosomal RNA", at positions 569 to 1074 of the family's 1831-position model. The record is from RNAcentral. Lineage: Eukaryota; Fungi; Glomeromycota; Glomeromycetes; Entrophosporales; Entrophosporaceae.